This 252-nucleotide ribosomal RNA is filed under the name uncultured bacterium. RNAcentral's name for it is "partial 16S ribosomal RNA". It matches the Rfam family "Bacterial small subunit ribosomal RNA", at positions 524 to 776 of the family's 1533-position model. The record is from RNAcentral.
UACGUAGGUCUCGAGCGUUAUCCGGAAUUACUGGGCGUAAAGUGUAUGUAGCAGGAUUUAUAAGUCUAUUUUCAAAUACCUCGACUUAAUCGAGGAAAGGGAAUAGAUACUGUAUUUCUAGAGGUUCUUAGAGGAUAGUGGAAUUUCCAGUGGAGAGGUGAAAUUCGUUGAUAUUGGAAAGAACGCCGAAAGCGAAAGCAGCUAUCUAUAAUUGCCUGACUGUAAAGUACGAAAGCUUGGGUAGCAAACGGG